CCUACGGGUGGCAGCAGUGGGGAAUAUUGGGCAAUGGGAGGAAUCCUGAACCAGCCAUGCCGCGUGCAGGACGACGGCUCUACGAGUUGUAAACUGCUUUUGUACCGGGGUAAAAUGCCUUACGUGUAGGGUUUUGAAAGUACGGUACGAAUAAGGAUCGGCUAACUCCGUGCCAGCAGCCGCGGUAAUACGGAGGAUGCGAGCGUUAUCCGGAUUUAUUGGGUUUAAAGGGUGCGCAGGCGGAGGCACAAGUCAGCGGUAAAAUCGCGGGGCUCAACCCCGCUCCGCCGUUGAAACUGUGUCCCUUGAGUGCGCGAAGGGUAGGCGGAAUGCGUGGUGUAGCGGUGAAAUGCAUAGAUAUCACGCAGAACUCCGAUCGCGAAGGCAGCCUACCGGCGCGCAACUGACGCUCAUGCACGAAAGCGUGGGUAUCGAACAGGAUUAGAUACCCUAGUAGUC
This 459-nucleotide ribosomal RNA is filed under the name uncultured bacterium. RNAcentral's name for it is "partial 16S ribosomal RNA". It matches the Rfam family "Bacterial small subunit ribosomal RNA", at positions 338 to 795 of the family's 1533-position model. The record is from RNAcentral.